This 387-nucleotide long non-coding RNA is filed under the name Ananas comosus (pineapple). RNAcentral's name for it is "long non-coding RNA (ACOM_LNC018480)". Lineage: Eukaryota; Viridiplantae; Streptophyta; Magnoliopsida; Poales; Bromeliaceae. The record is from RNAcentral.
AUUAAAAUUUUGAGAAUAGAACUAAAAUUCUCAUGAAUUUUUUGUUUAAAGGUGAUUAAUAUUUUAAAAUAAGAAAUGUUUAUUUCAGAAAUAAAAAAGAACUGCUUAUUUCAUAAAUAGAUACAAAAUUCAGGUAUAAGCUGGAACUAGAGUAAUUUUUUAUUUGGAUGAAAAUUAGGUUGUUUUUGAGAAAAAGAUAAAUAAUAUUUGGAUGGCUAGAUUGGAGUAGCGGAAAGUAUUAAUUAAAAUAUUUAUUAGCUAUGAACAUUAUAUAAGAUAAUUAAAAUAAUUAAUUAAUUUAAUUAAUUAUAAAAUACAAAUUGAUUUUUUAAUUACUUAGUGAAUUAUUUAAUUAGUUAGAUGAGUUAUUGAGAAAUUAAUUUAAUU